RNAcentral lists this ribosomal RNA (492 nucleotides) under uncultured bacterium. RNAcentral describes it as "partial 16S ribosomal RNA". It matches the Rfam family "Bacterial small subunit ribosomal RNA", at positions 29 to 507 of the family's 1533-position model. The record is from RNAcentral.
AGUGAACGCUGGCGGUAGGCCUAACACAUGCAAGUCGAACGGCAGCACAGUAAGAGCUUGCUCUUACGGGUGGCGAGUGGCGGACGGGUGAGGAAUACAUCGGAAUCUACUUUUUCGUGGGGGAUAACGUAGGGAAACUUACGCUAAUACCGCAUACGACCUACGGGUGAAAGCAGGGGAUCUUCGGACCUUGCGCGAUUGAAUGAGCCGAUGUCGGAUUAGCUAGUUGGCGGGGUAAAGGCCCACCAAGGCGACGCUCCGUAGCUGGUCUGAGAGGAUGAUCCGCCACAUUGGAACUGAGACACGGUCCAGACUCCUACGGGAGGCAGCAGUGGGGAAUAUUGGACAAUGGGCGAAAGCCUGAUCCAGCCAUACCGCGUGGGUGAAGAAGGCCUUCGGGUUGUAAAGCCCUUUUGUUGGGAAAGAAAAGCAGCAGGUUAAUACCCCGCUGUUAUGACGGUACCCAAAGAAUAAGCACCGGCUAACUUCGUG